GAUGAACGCUAGCUACAGGCUUAACACAUGCAAGUCGAGGGGAAACGACAUCGAAAGCUUGCUUUUGAUGGGCGUCGACCGGCGCACGGGUGAGUAACGCGUAUCCAACCUGCCCACCACUUGGGGAUAACCUUGCGAAAGUAAGACUAAUACCCAAUGAUAUCUCUAGAAGACAUCUGAAAGAGAUUAAAGAUUUAUCGGUGAUGGAUGGGGAUGCGUCUGAUUAGCUUGUUGGCGGGGUAACGGCCCACCAAGGCAACGAUCAGUAGGGGUUCUGAGAGGAAGGUCCCCCACAUUGGAACUGAGACACGGUCCAAACUCCUACGGGAGGCAGCAGUGAGGAAUAUUGGCCAAUGGACGAGAGUCUGAACCAGCCAAGUAGCGUGCAGGAAGACGGCCCUAUGGGUUGUAAACUGCUUUUAUAAGGGAAUAAAGUGAGUCUCGUGAGACUUUUUGCAUGUACCUUAUGAAUAAGGACCGGCUAAUUCCGUG
Molecule: ribosomal RNA, 492 nt
Filed under: uncultured bacterium
Lineage: Bacteria
Description: partial 16S ribosomal RNA
Rfam family: Bacterial small subunit ribosomal RNA
Source: RNAcentral